CACCCUUAAAACUAAGGGUAAAAGUAUACAUAUUUUAAUUGGGGCAACAUAGGAACAGAAAAAUUUCCUAUAAUAAACAUUUAAUAUAUUAAAAACAAAAAUCCUCAAAGAGAUAAAGAAAAACUACUUAGGGAUAACAGCGUAAUUUUCUAAAGAGAC
RNAcentral lists this ribosomal RNA (159 nucleotides) under Amathia citrina. RNAcentral's name for it is "partial 16S ribosomal RNA". The record is from RNAcentral. Lineage: Eukaryota; Metazoa; Bryozoa; Gymnolaemata; Ctenostomatida; Vesiculariidae.